Molecule: ribosomal RNA, 608 nt
Filed under: uncultured bacterium
Lineage: Bacteria
Description: bacterial SSU rRNA
Rfam family: Bacterial small subunit ribosomal RNA
Source: RNAcentral
CAGUGGCGGACGGGUGAGUAACGCGUAGGUAUCUGUCCUUGGGUGGGGGAUAACGCUGGGAAACUGGUGCUAAUACCGCAUGAUGAGGUCCAAAGGCGCAUCGCCUGGGGAGGAGCCUGCGUCCGAUUAGCUUGUUGGUGGGGUAAUGGCCUACCAAGGCUGCGAUCGGUAGCUGGUCUGAGAGGAUGAUCAGCCACAUUGGGACUGAGACACGGCCCAAACUCCUACGGGAGGCAGCAGUGGGGAAUAUUGGACAAUGGGCGCAAGCCUGAUCCAGCAAUGCCGCGUGGAUGAAGAAGGUUUUCGGAUUGUAAAGUCCUUUCGGCGGGGACGAUGAUGACGGUACCCGCAGAAGAAGCCCCGGCUAACUUCGUGCCAGCAGCCGCGGUAAUACGAAGGGGGCUAGCGUUGCUCGGAAUGACUGGGCGUAAAGGGCGCGUAGGCGGUUUGGUUAGUUAGACGUGAAAUUCCUGGGCUCAACCUGGGGACUGCGUUUAAUACAGCCAGACUAGAGUGUGGAAGAGGGUUGUGGAAUUCCCAGUGUAGAGGUGAAAUUCGUAGAUAUUGGGAAGAACACCGGUGGCGAAGGCGGCAACCUGGUCCAUGAC